Molecule: ribosomal RNA, 776 nt
Filed under: uncultured Neocallimastigales
Lineage: Eukaryota; Fungi; Neocallimastigomycota; Neocallimastigomycetes; Neocallimastigales
Description: partial large subunit ribosomal RNA
Rfam family: Eukaryotic large subunit ribosomal RNA
Source: RNAcentral
ACGUCUAUAUACGUAUAGCAUAUCAAUAAGCGGAGGAAAAGAAACUAACUAAGGAUUCCCUCAGUAACGGCGAGUGAAGCGGGAAGAGCUCAAAUUUGAAAUCUUCAAGGUUCUACCUUGACGAAUUGUAGUUUAAAGAAGUGUUUUCUGUUGAAGUUUUGGUAAAAGUUCUUUGGAAUAGGACAUCAUAGAGGGUGAGAAUCCCGUAUUUGACCAGUUAUUUCAGCUGUGUGAUACACUUUCAAAGAGUCGGAUUGUUUGGGAAUGCAGUCCAAAAUGGGUGGUAAAUUUCAGCUAAAGCUAAAUACUGGCGAGAGACCGAUAGCGAACAAGUACCGUGAGGGAAAGAUGAAAAGAACUUUGAAAAGAGAGUUAAACAGUACGUGAAAUUGUCAAAAGGGAAGCGUUUGACACCAGUGUUGUUUUCUCGAAAAUCAAUUAAAAAUGAGUGGAUUUUGUGUUGUAUUGACUUUAUCAGCUUUCUGCACUCUUUUCUUAUCUUUUUUAAUGCACUUUUCGUUUAACAAGUCAACAUCAAUUUCUUUUGUUGUAAAAGAGUCAUUGGAAGGUGGCUUUCUUUUCGGAGAAAGUGUUUAUAGCCUUUGGCUUCUGCAAUCGGAGAGAUUGAGGUCUGCAGCGUAGAUCCUUCGGGGUUAGAUACAUUUGUGCUAAGUUAUAGCCUUUCAUAGACAACUUGUUGACUAUGAUCAGUCAUGUAGCUCACUCGCUUAUGCUAUUUUACCUACGCUUAGGAUGUUGACGAUCAGCUGAGCGCG